UCCAUCGUGGUGUAAUGGCUAUCAUUUGUCGCUUUCAGUUGAAAGAGCCCCGACAGGACCCGGGUUCAAUUCCCGGCGAUGGAA
Pseudovirgaria hyperparasitica is the source of this 84-nucleotide non-coding RNA. Lineage: Eukaryota; Fungi; Ascomycota; Dothideomycetes; Acrospermales; Acrospermaceae. The record is from the annotation of a RefSeq genome assembly.